This 464-nucleotide ribosomal RNA is filed under the name uncultured ammonia-oxidizing bacterium. RNAcentral describes it as "bacterial SSU rRNA". It matches the Rfam family "Bacterial small subunit ribosomal RNA", at positions 198 to 643 of the family's 1533-position model. The record is from RNAcentral.
GGAGGAAAGUAGGGGAUCGUAAGACCUUGUGCUUUUGGAGCGGCCGAUGCCUGAUUAGCUAGUUGGUGGGGUAAAGGCCUACCAAGGCAACGAUCAGUAGUUGGUCUGAGAGGACGACCAGCCACACUGGGACUGAGACACGGCCCAGACUCCUACGGGAGGCAGCAGUGGGGAAUUUUGGACAAUGGGCGAAAGCCUGAUCCAGCAAUGCCGCGUGAGUGAAGAAGGCCUUCGGGUUGUAAAGCUCUUUCAGUCGAGAAGAAAAGGUUGUGACUAAUAAUCACAAUUUAUGACGGUAUCGACAGAAGAAGCACCGGCUAACUACGUGCCAGCAGCCGCGGUAAUACGUAGGGUGCAAGCGUUAAUCGGAAUUACUGGGCGUAAAGGGUGCGCAGGCGGCUCUGUAAGUCAGAUGUGAAAUCCCCGGGCUUAACCUGGGAAUUGCGUUUGAAACUACAAAGCUA